Paramuricea clavata is the source of this 72-nucleotide non-coding RNA. The record is from the annotation of a GenBank genome assembly. NCBI's taxonomy places the organism in Eukaryota, Metazoa, Cnidaria, Anthozoa, Malacalcyonacea, Plexauridae.
GAUCGCGUAGCUCAGUUGGCAGAGCAUUGGGCUAGUAUUCCAAAGGUCGUAGGUUCGAUUCCCACCGUGGCA